Molecule: ribosomal RNA, 1224 nt
Filed under: Weissella cibaria
Lineage: Bacteria; Bacillati; Bacillota; Bacilli; Lactobacillales; Lactobacillaceae
Description: bacterial SSU rRNA
Rfam family: Bacterial small subunit ribosomal RNA
Source: RNAcentral
UGCCUAUACAUGCAGUCGAACGCUUUGUGGUUCACUGAUUUGAAGAGCUUGCUCAGAUAUGACGAUGGACAUUGCAAAGAGUGGCGAACGGGUGAGUAACACGUGGGAAACCUACCUCUUAGCAGGGGAUAACAUUUGGAAACAGAUGCUAAUACCGUAUAACAAUAGCAACCGCAUGGUUGCUACUUAAAAGAUGGUUCUGCUAUCACUAAGAGAUGGUCCCGCGGUGCAUUAGUUAGUUGGUGAGGUAAUGGCUCACCAAGACGAUGAUGCAUAGCCGAGUUGAGAGACUGAUCGGCCACAAUGGGACUGAGACACGGCCCAUACUCCUACGGGAGGCAGCAGUAGGGAAUCUUCCACAAUGGGCGAAAGCCUGAUGGAGCAACGCCGCGUGUGUGAUGAAGGGUUUCGGCUCGUAAAACACUGUUGUAAGAGAAGAAUGACAUUGAGAGUAACUGUUCAAUGUGUGACGGUAUCUUACCAGAAAGGAACGGCUAAAUACGUGCCAGCAGCCGCGGUAAUACGUAUGUUCCAAGCGUUAUCCGGAUUUAUUGGGCGUAAAGCGAGCGCAGACGGUUAUUUAAGUCUGAAGUGAAAGCCCUCAGCUCAACUGAGGAAUUGCUUUGGAAACUGGAUGACUUGAGUGCAGUAGAGGAAAGUGGAACUCCAUGUGUAGCGGUGAAAUGCGUAGAUAUAUGGAAGAACACCAGUGGCGAAGGCGGCUUUCUGGACUGUAACUGACGUUGAGGCUCGAAAGUGUGGGUAGCAAACAGGAUUAGAUACCCUGGUAGUCCACACCGUAAACGAUGAGUGCUAGGUGUUUGAGGGUUUCCGCCCUUAAGUGCCGCAGCUAACGCAUUAAGCACUCCGCCUGGGGAGUACGACCGCAAGGUUGAAACUCAAAGGAAUUGACGGGGACCCGCACAAGCGGUGGAGCAUGUGGUUUAAUUCGAAGCAACGCGAAGAACCUUACCAGGUCUUGACAUCCCUUGACAACUCCAGAGGAUGGAGCGUUCCCUUCGGGGACAAGGUGACAGGUGGGUGCAUGGUUGUCGUCAGCUCCUGUCCUGAGAAGUUUGGGGUUAAGUCCCGCAACGAGCGCAACCCUUAUUACUAGUUGCCAGCAUUUAGUUGGGCACUCUAAUGAGACUGCCGGUGACAACCCGAGGAAAGAAGGGGGGGAGAGAAGCCAAAUAAUUUUGCGCCCUUUUAACCGGGGGUACA